RNAcentral lists this ribosomal RNA (160 nucleotides) under Clostridioides difficile. RNAcentral's name for it is "partial 23S ribosomal RNA". It matches the Rfam family "Bacterial large subunit ribosomal RNA", at positions 1 to 159 of the family's 2925-position model. The record is from RNAcentral. Lineage: Bacteria; Bacillati; Bacillota; Clostridia; Peptostreptococcales; Peptostreptococcaceae.
UGGUCAAGUUAUUAAGGGUGCAGGGCGGAUGCCUUGGCACUAGGAGCCGAUGAAGGACGUGAUAAGCUGCGAUAAGCUUCGGGGAGUUGCACGUAAACUUUGAUCCGAAGAUUUCCGAAUGAGGAAACUCACUUAGAGUAAUGUCUAAGUAUCAUUAAGU